AUACGUAGGUGGCAAGCGUUGUCCGGAAUUAUUGGGCGUAAAGCGCGCGCAGGCGGUCCUUUAAGUCUGAUGUGAAAUCUUGCGGCUCAACCGCAAGCGGUCAUUGGAAACUGGGGGACUUGAGUGCAGAAGAGGAAAGCGGAAUUCCACGUGUAGCGGUGAAAUGCGUAGAGAUGUGGAGGAACACCAGUGGCGAAGGCGGCUUUCUGGUCUGUAACUGACGCUGAGGCGCGAAAGCGUGGGGAGCAAACAGGAUUAGAUACCCUGGUAGUCCACGCCGUAAACGAUGAGUGCUAAGUGUUGGAGGGUUUCCGCCCUUCAGUGCUGCAGCUAACGCAUUAAGCACUCCGCCUGGGGAGUACGGUCGCAAGACUGAA
Molecule: ribosomal RNA, 377 nt
Filed under: uncultured bacterium
Lineage: Bacteria
Description: bacterial SSU rRNA
Rfam family: Bacterial small subunit ribosomal RNA
Source: RNAcentral